Molecule: long non-coding RNA, 536 nt
Organism: Ornithodoros turicata
Lineage: Eukaryota; Metazoa; Arthropoda; Arachnida; Ixodida; Argasidae
Exons: 4
Source: RefSeq, a predicted model, not a curated record
UACAAGGUACUUACUGGAAAGUCAAUUCUCGUCGGGGACUUUUCAGAAAUCUCAUUGAUACAGAUAUUUAUGAAGGAAUCACGUACACCUGUAUGGAGUGUCCUAUAAAAGCCAGGCAGUUCCGAUAGUGUACAUACAUCUGAAAUAUCCUCUCUAUACAGGAAAGUUUCAACGAUCUCUUCGUGGACACAAUGACGCCUCUACGUUUCGCUGUUGUCUUCGUCCUCCUCUUUGGUGUAUUUGUCGCCAGUGAAGCUGCACCUGAAGGACACGAGCUUGAACGUCGUGACGAUGACUUCGGUGUCUGCACUUGUGUUCAGGGUAUUACAUGCCCUCAUAACAUCCCUUGCACAAAGUUUAGCGAGUGUAAGAAAUGCUUCGUUCUCGGUGGACUAAAACAUGACUGACCGGCAACCCUUAACAACGAAACGAUCAACUGCACGUAUAUGAAAUAAGAGUCCCUGGCAUUCUCUUUCACCAACAUGAUCAUGGGUGGCGGGAACUUUUGAGGGCAAUAAAUUGUACUAAGCAGCAGA